This is a long non-coding RNA of Cercocebus atys (sooty mangabey), 2341 nucleotides long. RefSeq lists it as uncharacterized. The transcript has 4 exons. Lineage: Eukaryota; Metazoa; Chordata; Mammalia; Primates; Cercopithecidae. The record is from RefSeq and is a predicted model, not a curated record.
UCCUGACCUCAAGUAAUCCACCCGCCUCGGCCUCCCAAAGUGCUGUGAUUACAAGCGUGAGUGUGGCCAGCUUCCCUGAUUCUUAAUGCUGUUAUCCUAGUGCGGUGAUGCUCAGAGUCUGCUCCCUGGAACCGCAGCAUCAGUAUCACAUGGGAACCUGAUAGAAAUGCAGAUUCCCAGACCUAAGCAAGACAAGACGACUGCAACAGAGACUCCACGGGUGAAACCCAGCAAUCUGUGCUUUAACGAGCCCUCCAGAUGAUUCUUUAAACAAACGUUUUUAAGUUGACACACAAUAGUUACACAUAUUUAUGGGGUAUGUAGGGAUGCUUUGAUACCUGCAAUGUGCAGCAAUCAGAUCAUGGUAUUUAGCAUAUCCAUCAUCUCAAACAUUUAUCAUUUCUUUAUGUUCCUACAGAUGAUUCUGGUGCAAAUUCAAGUUUGAAAACCAAUGGCCUAGUGUAGGGUUGUCAAACCUGGAUGCAUAUGUAUUAGAUACAUCCGAGGGGCUUUAAAACGUACAACUAUCCCAGACAUAAAAGGCCAUAUGAUUCCAUUCACACCAAAUGUCCAGAAUAGGCAAAUACAUAGAGACGGAACACAGAGUAGUGGUUUCCCGGGGCUGGGGAGAAUGCGGAACUUGGCAGUGCGGGGCUUCUCUUGGGAAUGACGGAAGUAUUCUGGAAUCAGUGGGGAUGGCUGCACAACAUUGCAAAUAUACUAAAUACCACUUACUGGGGUUUGAAUACACCCUCCAGAGCUCAUGUGUUGGAAACUUAAUCCCUAAUCCAGCAAUGCUGACAGGUGAGAUCUUGAAGAGGUGAUCAGGUCACGAGGGCUCUGCCUCAUGAAUGGAUUAAUGUUGUUAUUGCAGGAGUGGGUUUGUGAUAAAAGCUGAGUUCAGCCUCUCCUGCUCUCUCUCACUCUCUUGCCCUUCUGCCUUCUGCCACAGGAUGACAUAGCACAAAGGCCCUUGACACAUGGGGGCCCCUGGACCUCAGACUUCCCAGCCUCCAGAACGAUGCUCUGUCUGUAACAUGAAAUGAAAAGAAUUCCUUCCAGACCCCUAGCCAAGUUUCACCUUAAGCUCGUUGACUCACAGAGGAAAUCCCUAUAGGAGACUGGAAAGAAGAUGUUGGAGCCAGAGGCUAUCUUUGAUUGUCAGGAAAUUCUUUCAAAUAGCAAACAUAAAUGCACACAAAGAAGCAAGGAGGAAGAAGACGGAACUGUGUAGAAAAGGGAACGGCCUGGAAUAGAGAAGAGAGACGGGUUCCAACUCAUGUAAAACUUCUCCAAUGGGAGACAAGGACACUGUUUGAGGGGAAAAUUCCUACACAAGCAAACAAACAGCAGAGGAUACCGGCCCCCCACCCCCUGCCCCAUCCAGGGUAGGAGCACAGUGGAUCACCUGCUGCCCUGUGUCUUGUGGCCUCUGUCCCUGGAAUCUCACUGAUGGAAAUGUACCAGUCCCUCAGGACUCCUUUCCCAUGUCACCCUCAUGAAGCCUUCUCUGAUAGCCCCACGCUCAGUAGAUCUUACCACAUAUGACUCGUGUUACUAUGAUUAUAUACAUGCCUUUCUCCUCACCAGCUUACGAUUCUCUUAAGGAUCAGGACUAUGUCUUGCUCAUUUUUACAUUUCCUAUAGUAUUGAAAGGGGGCAUAAAAGGUAUUGGAUAGAUUUUGAGAAUUGAGUGAGUAGAGUUUUUGCCUUGACACCUGCAGCUGCAGCAAUUACAAAAGCAGUGGGUCAUGCUGGCUGCCGGGCAGUACUUCUUCAGAGCUGGAAAUAACCCACAAGGAGACAUCAGGCUUUGGUGCAUUGACACACUAAAGUCGCUCAACCCUGACCCUGCCAGUAUGUCUUCAUUUGGGAAACUUUUUCAUCCCAAAGUUCCCCAGCUUGAAAAUGCCUUUUAAGCAGAGCUUAUUUUAUUUCCUUUCUGGAAUUCUUGACAUAGAGUGAAGGAACUGGAAGGGAGUUUCAAGAUCCCUGGGUGACCUCCUCAUUUUACAGAGAGAAAUCUGUCAAAAACUCACGCCCUCCCGGUGUCCUCUCCUCAGUGCUUUGGCCCACUUUCUGAUUCCUGCAAGGUUUAUCUUCCUGCUAAUUCUAUUCCCUGUGACCUCAGGCAACAUGCCUCAUUUCCUGAGGGAAUUCUCUCCUUAUCUGUAAAGUUUCUGCUCUUCCUUGGGCAAGGAGAGGAGAGGGGAAGGAGCCGGAACAGCCACUACAUUGAGGGACUGCCUGCCUUGAUGGUGCCCAUCACCAGCAGAGGAAUGACUCCAACAAAAAAAAAUCACAAAGAGUACUGGGCGUGGUGGCUCAUGCCUGUAAUCCC